ACCGUGGGUACUACGUCACUGUAUUGUUGCUGAAGCAGGAGCAGUAUGCCACAUCCUCAUUUACCCAUCUCAAGGUUCAAUCUUCUCACAAUCUGCUACCUCUUUGUUCCUUGGACCCGUGACUUGGAUUUGACAGACUAGUUAACAAACCAGAUUAUGUGUCUGCAACGGAUCAAGCUUAACCUCUAUUAGAAAUUUCUAAAUUCAUCCACCAGUUUCAAUAUUUUUUUUAUAAUGUAAUUUUAGGGUUAAUUUUACGGUAAUGUCAUCACCGUCAAGAGGCAGGAGUGGAUCUACUACUACAUUACAUACAUAUUUCAUAUGAAUACAAGUGUCUUAGCUGUGUAAGAGAGUAUAGAAGGUAUGUGCUGUUAAUGCCCUGUAAACCAGUAACUGCUUAUGCAUCAGCUGCUAAUCCUUGACAGCAUAAGGAAAGAAUAAGGGCAGCCAUGUGCACAUUAGUGAUGUCCUAUGAGGAUCCCCUUGGUGCUACCACAAGCAGCAGGAAGAAUUUGGUGGGGACAGACGAUAGUGACCUAUCAAGCACUUUAUGUGAAAUUCCAGAGAACAAAGAAGAGAGCAAGGCUACAGAUUCUGAUGCAGAAGAGGAGAGAAAACAGUCUGUGGAACUGUAUUCCCAGGUGGAGACACAGCCAACCCUUGAAACAAACACAGAGGAGCAGCACAACCAGCUCAACGCCAACAACUGGUGCAUAGCUGUUGUUACUAUAAUCCUCUGUUUCCUGUUUUUCCUCUACUACUGCUUUUAAACUGAAGUCAACUGUUACCUCUACAUCAUGGUAACCAACGGGUAGCUUUCCAUCUGUUAAGAAAUUUGAAAAUGUCGGUGAUGCUCAGCUAUUCACAGGUCAGAAAAGUACCAUGGACGUUGAAUUGCCACAACAGCUGCUGAGCGUCUUUGCUGGCGUCCCCUGCUCUACACAGAAUCAGAGCAUGCCAUAAUGUCUCCUUAACAGAAAAUGCAAAGUUUCAUAACGCAGUACAAUUGUGCUUAAAAGAUGGUCUGUCUAGUUUUCAUAAAUGAAAAGCAUUUUUUUUUCACUAAUGGUAUAUCAAAGCGCACCUUUAAAUUAUCAGUAGGUGGUCUUAUCUCUGGACAUCACACAAGAUAGAAGUAAAAUAUAUUUUUACCAACUCCAGGCCAUUCCUCUUGUACCUUGCCACAACUGUCCAAAAAACUAAAUCCUUAUCUUCCAGCUGCUUCUUGGUAGAUGUCGUUUGGUUGCCCAGAAUUAAUAAUAUUAAAGGUGCUGAGAGAGGUGUUCAUUAUACCAGAAAAAAAACAACUACCACCCAUUUACAGUAGCUCACAAAACCAAUGUUGCAUAAUGCUUCUUCUCAAUGUCUCAAUUAUCAAGUAUAUCAUAAUUUUACUAAUUGCACUUUAAGUAGAAAAUACUAGUUGUUGGUAGAAGGAUAGGUGGUACUAAACAGGGAUCUAUUAUAAAGCACAAAUGGUAUUAAUAUGAGAUAAUCAUAUAUGAUGUCAAUGCUACUUGGCGUCCACAUGUACUUUAAAUAUGUUGGAAAAUGUAAGCAGGCCAAAUGUGAAAUCAUCACGUACCCAAACUUUUAAAUGUAAUAUCUAGACACUAAUGUAGCAAAUUAUUUUUUAUUUUUAAAUAUUGAGUGGUUUGAUGACUCAUAAGUAGGCUGUAGUCCGCUGAUUAGAACUCAAGGUGUAGAGUUAAUGAGCUGCCAGAUGCCUUGGGUUUCAUGGCUAAGCCAAUAGUUACGGCCAUAUUAAUGAUUAUAACAUAUCACAUUCCACAUUGGCCAAAGUACUCAGUGACUCUACCUAGGCACUUAUUAUAUCACAAAUAAUAUUAAAAAUGAAGGCACUAAUUUUUAUUGGAUAUAAUUUUAGAAACAUCUAGAAUCUGCCAGUUAAUUUUCUGUUUCCUAAAAUGGACCUGUUAUUGCACCAGCUCCUAAAUCUUAUUUAUUAGCUUACUCAGAAAACCAAGUGUAUAUACUGAUGAGCAUAGACGGUAACCAUAUAUCAGAGAAAUCAAUCUCAUCUGUAUGGAGUCUGGUUAUUUAUAAUAACUAGUCAAUCAAAUGAAUCACUGGACGCCAAAAGUAAACUACCCAUCAGUAAACUUAAUGAAAAAAUAUAUAAAUGUUGGAGGAUUUAUCUUUUGCCAUAUUUUGCCAUAAUUCUGCACUUAUAACUUUGUCUAAUUUUACCACAUAAACGUUCUGGUAUUGCCUUUACAAGUUAUCCAUGACAAUUCUACAUAAAACUCAAAUGUAACAGUGUCACUUUAAGUAUAGCUAAUAAUAAGUAUUGUAUAAGGAAAUGUAUUAUUGCUUAUGAUUUUUUUUAAAUGUUUUCUUUUGUUUCUAACAUUAUAGCUACCUUAACACCUAUGCUCAUUGCAUAGAAUAUUUUGUGGGGAGCACCUUGCCAUUGUACCCCUUGAUCCAAUUCAUAGGUGGAACAAUUUACAAAAGAGCCAGCUAGCUGCCCAGCUCACUAUUUGAAUGUACAAGAUCUUCUACGUCAUGUGUAUACAUAUGAUGUAAAAGUCCUAAGUAAUGGACUCUGGUAUAGCUUUCUAAGGCAGGUGCUUUUAUUAGUUUGCCAGGUAGUUCCAUCAAUAAAUAAAGCCAUUUGCUACUGGAAUACCUGAACUACUCACAACAUAAUGAUUUCUUGAAAUCUGAUGGGACAAAAUAAUUGUAUUUUAAGUGUUACAAAUAUAAUAUAUCUUCCAGUAUCUUCCUAAUUUUACUUAGCACUUUAGCCAAGAAGUCCUGAAUUGUUAGGAUUUCAUGUUUUGGUCCAAUAUAGAUGAUCUGGAAUAUUUCCCUAAGUCAGCAUUGUUUUAAUUUCUUAAUUUUGACCUAAAAUUUUAAAUUCCCCUUGAAUUCUCAAAAUCUCAAAAUGUAACAGGUAAAGAGGAUUCUAAAAUUCUUAUUGAUAUAUGGAUGUUCUUCCCUAUAUUUUUACAGGUAUGCCAAAACAGUGUUUGCUGAAACAAUUCCAGACAGUUCUGGCUCACAUUUAAAACUGGCUUCAAGGCAAAUUAUAAAUGUAACCCUGGUAACUGAAUAGUAGUUUCAUAUCAUAUAAUAUCAUUGGAUAUUGUAUUAACUUGCCAGAUAACGGUUUAUCUGUUAUAAUAAUUUAGCCUUU
Long non-coding RNA from Pelobates fuscus (common spadefoot toad), 3163 nucleotides. RefSeq lists it as uncharacterized. The transcript has 3 exons. Lineage: Eukaryota; Metazoa; Chordata; Amphibia; Anura; Pelobatidae. The record is from RefSeq and is a predicted model, not a curated record.